This 709-nucleotide ribosomal RNA is filed under the name uncultured bacterium. RNAcentral describes it as "bacterial SSU rRNA". It matches the Rfam family "Bacterial small subunit ribosomal RNA", at positions 28 to 733 of the family's 1533-position model. The record is from RNAcentral.
AUUGAACGCUGGCGGCAUGCUUUACACAUGCAAGUCGAACGGCAGCACGGGAGCUUGCUCCUGGUGGCGAGUGGCGAACGGGUGAGUAAUGCAUCGGAACGUACCCAGUAGUGGGGGAUAACACAUCGAAAGAUGUGCUAAUACCGCAUACGCACUGAGGUGGAAAGCGGGGACCUUCGGGCCUCGCGCUAUUGGAGCGGCCGAUGUCGGAUUAGCUAGUUGGUGGGGUAAAGGCCUACCAAGGCAACGAUCCGUAGCUGGUCUGAGAGGAUGAUCAGCCACACUGGGACUGAGACACGGCCCAGACUCCUACGGGAGGCAGCAGUGGGGAAUUUUGGACAAUGGGCGCAAGCCUGAUCCAGCCAUGCCGCGUGAGUGAAGAAGGCCUCGGGUUGUAAAGCUCUUUCAGUCGGAAAGAAGCGGUCUGCCCUAAUAAGGUGGGCUAAUGACGGUACCGACAGAAGAAGCACCGGCUAACUACGUGCCAGCAGCCGCGGUAAUACGUAGGGUGCGAGCGUUAAUCGGAAUUACUGGGCGUAAAGCGUGCGCAGGCGGCUUUGUAAGACAGAUGUGAAAGUCCCCGGGCUCAACCUGGGAACUGCGUUUGUGACUGCAAGGCUAGAGUACGGUAGAGGGGGUGGAAUUCCACGUGUAGCAGUGAAAUGCGUAGAGAUGUGGAGGAACACCGAUGGCGAAGGCAGCCCCUGGG